This 468-nucleotide ribosomal RNA is filed under the name uncultured bacterium. Its description in RNAcentral is "partial 16S ribosomal RNA". It matches the Rfam family "Bacterial small subunit ribosomal RNA", at positions 28 to 507 of the family's 1533-position model. The record is from RNAcentral.
GACGAACGCUGGCGGCGCGCCUAACACAUGCAAGUCGAACGGAGUCAAGAGGAGCUUGCUUUUCUUGACUUAGUGGCGAACGGGUGAGUAACGCGUGAGUAACCUGCCCUGGAGUGGGGGACAACAGUUGGAAACGACUGCUAAUACCGCAUAAGCCCACGGAUCCGCAUGGAUCUGCGGGCAAAGGAUUUAUUCGCUUCAGGAUGGACUCGCGUCCAAUUAGCUAGUUGGUGAGGUAACGGCCCACCAAGGCGACGAUUGGUAGCCGGACUGAGAGGUUGAACGGCCACAUUGGGACUGAGACACGGCCCAGACUCCUACGGGAGGCAGCAGUGGGGGAUAUUGCACAAUGGGGGAAACCCUGAUGCAGCGACGCCGCGUGGAGGAAGAAGGUUUUCGGAUUGUAAACUCCUGUCGUUAGGGACGAUAAUGACGGUACCUAACAAGAAAGCACCGGCUAACUACGUG